Oryctolagus cuniculus (rabbit) is the source of this 731-nucleotide non-coding RNA. NCBI's taxonomy places the organism in Eukaryota, Metazoa, Chordata, Mammalia, Lagomorpha, Leporidae. The record is from RefSeq and is a predicted model, not a curated record.
AGGGACGAGGUGCGGCCGGAAAAAUGGACCAGUACCUCUAAGACAAGUCCACGACGGGACAAAAAAACCCAGGAGCGACACUAGGAAGUAACGUCCCUGGCGGUCCACCUCCUUUUAUGGGGUUUGCCCCAGGGCCCCGGAUGCAACAGGAAUGCCUCCAGACCAUGGAAAAUGUGUGAGUCAAGCAACACACAGUGUCAUCUUCCAAAGACAAGAUGGAAAUAGAGGUUCGCUUGAACUUUUCAGAUGUCUGCUCUACAUGAUGCCGACAGCAAACACUUGGAAUCUUGAGUGGACUCAGCACCGUAUGCACGGGACAUGUUAUGAGCUCCUUAUAAAUGUUGAAUGAGUGCACAGAAUACAGCAAGUAGGUUCCAAUGACAUUCUAGAAAUUCAAUAUUGAUAGAGAGACUAAGCUGAAAGAGUAAAACUUAAGAAUUAAAUUAAUUUAAUGGUAAUUUAAGACUUGCUAUUUACUGUAUUUGGAACAAAUAAUUAAGUAAAGUCAAAAUAUCAUCAACAUAUGAACCUUCACUAAAGAAUAUUAAAUGAAUCACAAAUCUAAAGUAUGCAACAGCAAACAUUUUUUUCCGAUAGAUUAAAUGACAAGAUAUAUUAAAAAGUGCUUCACUUUUUUUUUUUAAGGUUUACUGAUUCAUUUCAAAGGCAGAGCAACAGAGAGGGAGGGAGAGACAGAGAGAAAGAGAUCUUGUAACCUCUGAUUCACUCUC